AAAAGCAAAGUAUAUAGUAUAAAAUAUAUAGUAGGUAGAACGGCACGAGGUGCAACAGAAGUGGACAAAUAAAGAUACAGAGAGAUAAACAAAUAUACAUAUUUAUAUAUAGAGAGAGAGAGAGAGUAAGAACAAGUGAUAGAGAGUGACAAGUGAUGGGGGCUCUCAGGUGCGCUACAGCAAAGUAUACGGAAAUACACAGCAAUCGAGCCAGACUCUUCGAUUAAAUGAACAAGUUUAUCGCCCUCGAGAUCUUCAAUAACAUCUCCACUUGGAUCCUUUUGCACUAACCGGCGUAUAUAACUGGCUCUUUGGAAGUUGGCUUAAAGAAAACUAUAGCUGGCAGUGCAAAGACACCAUAUUCCUUGGCCAUUUGCUUA
This is a long non-coding RNA of Drosophila innubila, 380 nucleotides long. RefSeq lists it as uncharacterized. Lineage: Eukaryota; Metazoa; Arthropoda; Insecta; Diptera; Drosophilidae. The record is from RefSeq and is a predicted model, not a curated record. The transcript is spliced from 3 exons.